RNAcentral lists this ribosomal RNA (2230 nucleotides) under human gut metagenome. RNAcentral describes it as "bacterial LSU rRNA". It matches the Rfam family "Bacterial large subunit ribosomal RNA", at positions 1 to 2299 of the family's 2925-position model. The record is from RNAcentral.
UUAAGAAACAAAGAGCGCACGGUGGAUGCCUUGGCACUAAUAGGCGAAGAAGGACGCGACUAACAGCGAAAUGCUACGGGGAGCAGUAAGUACGCAGAGAUCCGUAGAUGUCCGAAUGGGGGAACCCACUAGUUUGAAGAACUAGUAUCAUAUAGUGAAUACAUAGCUAUAUGAGGCAAACCUGGAGAAUUGAAACAUCUUAGUACCCAGAGGAAAAGAAAAUAAAUAAUGAUUCCCUAAGUAGAGGCGAUUGAAAGGGGAAGAGCCCAGCACCAUCAAGAGUUACAAAAUCUUUUUAUAGUAGAAUUGUAUUGGAAAAGCAAGUCAAAGAAGGUGAAAGCCCUGUAUACGAAAUAAAGAGAUCUCGGUGUGAGAGUAGGGCGGAGCACGUGAAAUUCUGUCUGAAUAUGCGAGGACCAUCUCGUAAGGCUAAAUACUCAUUAGUGACCGAUAGUGAACCAGUACUGUGAAGGAAAGGUGAAAAGAACCCCUGGCGGGGAGUGAAAAGAACCUGAAACCGUGUGCUUACAAACAGUUAGAGCCCAUCAAUGGGUGAUAGCGUGCCUUUUGUAGAAUGAGCCGGCGAGUUACGUUAAUUUGCAAGGUUAAGCUUUUAGGAGUGGAGCCGUAGCGAAAGCAAGUCUUAAUAGGGCGAAUAAGUAGAUUGACGUAUACCCGAAACCGGGUGAUCUAGCCAUGAGCAGGUUGAAGCUUGGGUAAAACCAGGUGGAGGACCGAACCAGGGUCUGUUGAAAAAGACUUGGAUGACUUGUGGCUAGGGGUGAAAUUCCAAUCGAACCCGGAGAUAGCUGGUUCUCCCCGAAAUAGCUUUAGGGCUAGCGUUGUGAGAAGAGUUAUACGAAGGUAGAGCACUGAAUGGGUGAGGGCCGCACCUCGCGGUACCAAUCUCAAUCAAACUCCGAAUGUCGUAUAAUAUGCGCAGCAGUAAGACUAUGGGUGAUAAGGUCCAUGGUCAAAAGGGAAACAGCCCAGACCGCCAGUUAAGGUCCCAAAAUUAUGCUAAGUGGGAAAGGAGGUGGAGUCGCUUAAACAACUAGGAGGUUGGCUCAGAAGCAGCCAUCCUUUAAAGAGUGCGUAAUAGCUCACUAGUCGAGUGAUUCUGCGCCGAAAAUGUAUCGGGGCUAAGCAUAAUACCGAAGCUGCGGGAUUAGAUGAAGAAUCUAAUCGGUAGGGGAGCGUACUAAGUGCGUAGAAGGUUGACCGGAAGGGCAGCUGGAGCGCUUAGCAGUGAGUAUGCCGGUGUGAGUAGCGAUAAGAUGGGUGAGAAUCCCAUCCGUCGAAAGCCUAAGGUUUCCAGGGGUAAGGCUCGUCCUCCCUGGGUAAGUCGGGUCCUAAGGUGAGGCUGAGAAGCGUAGCUGAUGGACAUCAGGUUGAUAUUCCUGAACCACCAUAAAACUGAAGGAAUGACGGAGGAGGCUAAUCAGAGCUGAUUAAUGGAUUUCAGUUUAAGUACAAAGAGGGUUACGUAGGCAAAUCCGCGUAGCAAAACCUUGAAGUAUGAUGACGUAAGUCUGGUGAAGCCACACUUCCAAGAAAAGUUUCUAGGUGUAUUUUAUGGUGCCCGUACCGUAAACGGACACACGUAGGCGAGGAGAGAAUCCAAAGACGCGCGAGAUAAUUCUUGUUAAGGAACUCUGCAAAAUUACUCUGUAACUUCGGAAUAAAGAGGGCUCCCGUGAGGGAGACGCAGAAAAUAGGCCCAAGCGACUGUUUAACAAAAACAUAGGUUUCUGCUAAAGCGUAAGCUGAUGUAUAGGAGCUGACGCCUGCCCAGUGCUGGAAGGUUAAGAGGAGAAGUUAGUCGCAAGGCGAAGCUUUGAAUUGAAGCCCCAGUAAACGGCGGCCGUAACUAUAACGGUCCUAAGGUAGCGAAAUUCCUUGUCAGGUAAGUUCUGACCCGCACGAAAGGCGUAAUGAUUGGGGUGCUGUCUCAACAAGAAACUCGGUGAAAUCAUAGUACCUGUGAAGAUGCAGGUUACCCGCGAUCAGACGGAAAGACCCCAUGGAGCUUCACUGCAACUUAAUAUUGAUAUUGGGUGUGUGAUGUACAGGAUAGGUGGGAGACAAAGAAGCGAGUACGCUAGUAUUCGUGGAGUCAACCUUGGGAUACCACCCCUCGCACAUUUAGUAUCUAACUAGUUUCCAUAAGCUGGGAAUAGAACAGUGUUAGGUGGGCAGUUUGACUGGGGCGGUCGCCUCCCAAAGAGUA